This is an RNA transcript of Mus musculus (house mouse), 3199 nucleotides long. It is a transcript of the gene named RAS p21 protein activator 4, with no coding region annotated. The record is from RefSeq and is marked validated. The transcript is spliced from 21 exons. Lineage: Eukaryota; Metazoa; Chordata; Mammalia; Rodentia; Muridae.
CUCCCCGCCCCCGCAGGAGGGGCGGGGAGGGGUGAAUGGAGUAGCGGAGAUCCCUCAGCCCCAGCGCUCCCCUCUCUGGCCUCCGCACCCGCCUGCCUGCAGCGCCACUCGCACUGUUCCCCCUCCUUACCCCGAGAGGGGACCCAUGAGUCCGAACCCCUCCCCGCCAGGCCUCCACGUCGCCGACCCGCAAUGGCCAAGCGCAGUUCGCUGUCCAUCCGAAUCGUAGAAGGGAAAAAUCUGCCCGCCAAGGACAUCACGGGCAGCAGCGACCCCUACUGCAUCGUGAAGGUGGACAAUGAACCCAUCAUCAGGACAGCCACUGUGUGGAAGACCCUGUGCCCCUUCUGGGGUGAAGACUACCAAGUACACUUGCCCCCCACGUUCCACACGGUGGCCUUCUAUGUCAUGGAUGAGGAUGCCCUUAGCCGGGACGAUGUGAUCGGGAAGGUCUGCCUCACGAGGGACGCGCUAGCCUCUCACCCAAAGGGAUUCAGUGGAUGGACCCACCUGGUGGAGGUGGACCCGAACGAGGAGGUGCAGGGUGAGAUCCACCUGCGCCUGGAGGUGGUGCCAGGGGUCCAUGCCAGCCGGCUGCGCUGCGCGGUGCUUGAGGCGAGGGACUUAGCACCAAAAGAUCGGAAUGGCGCAUCUGACCCUUUUGUCCGAGUGCACUACAAUGGCCGGACCCAGGAGACCUCGGUGGUGAAGAAAUCCUGCUACCCACGCUGGAAUGAGACAUUUGAUUUUGAGCUGGAAAAAGGAGCCUCAGAAGCACUGCUGGUGGAGGCCUGGGACUGGGAUCUUGUUAGCCGGAAUGACUUUCUAGGCAAAGUGGCGGUCAAUGUCCAGAGACUUUGUUCAGCCCAGCAGGAAGAGGGCUGGUUCCGGCUGCAGCCUGACCAGUCCAAAAGCCGUCAAGGCAAGGGCAACCUGGGCUCCUUGCAGUUGGAAGUGCGGCUGCGGGACGAGACAGUGCUGCCGUCCGUCUGCUACCAGCCCCUGGUACAACUGUUGUGCCAGGAGGUGAAGCUGGGCACUCAGGGCCCAGGACGGCUGAUUCCUGUCAUUGAGGAGACAACUAGUGCCGAGUGUCGCCAGGAAGUGGCCACCACCCUGCUCAAACUCUUCCUGGGGCAGGGGCUGGCCAAGGACUUUCUGGAUCUGCUUUUUCAGCUGGAGCUGGGCCGCACCAGUGAAGCCAACACCCUCUUCCGGAGCAAUUCUCUGGCCUCAAAGUCCAUGGAGUCUUUCCUGAAGGUGGCAGGGAUGCGCUAUCUGCAUGGCAUCCUGGGCCCCAUCAUUGACAGAGUGUUCGAGGAGAAGAAGUACGUGGAGCUGGACCCCAGCAAAGUGGAAGUUAAGGAUGUAGGGUGCUCUGGGCUGCACCGCCCACAGACCGAAGCUGAAGUGUUAGAGCAGAGUGCACAGACGCUGCGUGCCCACUUAGUGGCGCUGCUGAGCGCCAUAUGCCGCUCGGUUCGCACGUGCCCAGCCAUCAUCCGCGCCACAUUCCGGCAGCUGUUCAGGCGCGUGCGCGAGCGCUUCCCGAACGCCCAGCACCAGAACGUACCAUUCAUCGCGGUCACCAGCUUCCUGUGCCUGCGCUUCUUCUCUCCCGCCAUCCUGUCGCCCAAGCUCUUCCACCUGCGAGAGCGGCAUGCAGAUGCCCGCACCAGCCGCACGCUGCUUCUGCUGGCCAAGGCGGUCCAGAACAUAGGCAAUAUGGACACACCGGUCUCUAGGGCCAAAGAGUCGUGGAUGGAACCACUCCAGCCUACCGUGCGCCAGGGCGUGGCGCAGCUGAAGGACUUCAUUAUGAAGCUUGUGGACAUAGAAGAAAAGGAAGACAGGGUCUCAUUCAACCCAGGGCUGGCUGCAAACUCACUGCCAAGAAUGAUCUUAAAUUCAAGUGGAUCCUCUGGCCUCCACUCCCCGAGGGCUGAGAUUAUAGCAUGUGCCACCAAGCCUGUGUUUCUGUGGUGCUGUGACUCUAACUCAGGGUCUGCCCAUGCUAGGCACCAACUUAACUUCAUCCCCAGCCCUUUUCCCCCACGACCCUACCCACUGUAGGUCUUAGCACCUCCCCUAAUCUCCCCGACCCUUCGAUUUCCCACCCAUUUUCUUUCCUGCUUUCAGAGCUGGACCUGCAGCGGGCUUUGAACUCACAGGCACCACCUGUGAAGGAGGGACCAUUGUUCAUCCACAGGACCAAAGGCAAAGGCCCUCUUGCAUCCUCCUCGUUCAAGAAACUCUACUUCUCCCUUACCACUGAAGCCCUCAGCUUCGCCAAGACGUCCAGCUCCAAGAAAAGCACCUUCAUCAAGCUGGCCAGCAUCCGGGCUGCGGAGAAGGUGGAGGAAAAGAGCUUCGGCAGCUCCCACAUCAUGCAGGUCAUCUAUGCAGAUGAUGUUGGCCGUGCCCAGACUGUCUACCUGCAGUGCAAGUGUGUGAACGAGUUGAACCAGUGGCUGUCUGCAUUGCGCAAAGCGAGCACCAACAACAGGGGCCUCCUACGGUCAUACCAUCCUGGCAUCUUCCGUGGGGACAAGUGGAGCUGCUGUCACCAGAAGGACAAGACAGAUCAGGGAUGUGACAAGACCCACUCUCGGGUGACCCUGCAGGAAUGGAAUGACCCACUGGAUCAUGACCUUGAGGCUCAGCUCAUCUACAGGCACCUGCUAGGCGUGGAGGCUGCUCUGCGGGAAAGAUACCAGCUCCUGCGUGGGGCGACAGAAGCAGGUGUCUCACCCACGGGCUGUGAUGGAGCUCCCGAGGACUCGCUGGCCCAGCUGCUUCGUGUGCUGCAAGACCUUCGAGAAGCCCACGGCUCCAGCCUGGCCAGCCCAGCAGCCAGAGAGCCCCAUCACCUUCUAGAGCUACAGACGUGAGGUGUCCGUGAGGUGUCCAUCGAGCCCCUGUUAGGUGUUUGCAGAUCCUAGACAUGCUCAGGAUCCUUGUCCCAGUCAACUGUUCUGGGGAGGGCUGUGACCCAGCAUAGUCUUCUCCAUGUCUGCGAGGGACAACCGUGACACCUGCUUCCUUGGGAGAACCAACUGCUCUUGUAGUCCCCAUGACCCAUAUUCUUCACCCAGGAGAACAGGCUGUCCACCUCACAUUGCUUUGCCACUGUCUGGCCUCCUAGGUCGGAUGCCACAGUGGUUUGCUGUCAUAAAUAAAUGCUCUGUAACUGCCGCAA